CAGUGAAACCGCGAACGGCUCAUUAAAUCAAUCGUUGUUUACUUGAUAGUUAUCUUUACUUGGAUAACUGCGGUAACUCUGGAGCUAAUACAUGCCGAAUCCGCUGUCUCCGGACAGGGGGCUUUUAUUAGAUUCAAGACUACGCCGGGACUAAGUUGCCCGGAUUUUGUUGAACUCUGGAUAACUGCAGGACCGCAGUAAGCCUUGUGCUGGCGGCGUAUCUUCCAAGUGUUUGCCCUAUCAACUUUGGACGGUAGGGUACCGGCCUACCGUGGUUGUAACGGGUAACGGGGAAUCAGGGUUCGAUUCCGGAGAGGGAGCCUGAGAGACGGCUACCACAUCUAAGGAAGGCAGCAGGCGCGCAAAUUACCCAAUCCCCGAACGGGGAGGUAGUGACGAAAAAUAACAAUAUGAAGCCUUCUGGUUUUGUGAUUGGAAUGGACGGGAUAUAAAAACUCCCGUGAGGAUCUAGUGGAGGGCAAGUCUGGUGCCAGCAGCCGCGGUAAUACCAGCCUCCACAAGCAUAUGCAAAAGUUGCUGC
RNAcentral lists this ribosomal RNA (541 nucleotides) under Kuma sp. 214386170. RNAcentral describes it as "SSU rRNA". It matches the Rfam family "Eukaryotic small subunit ribosomal RNA", at positions 79 to 616 of the family's 1831-position model. RNAcentral also lists the same sequence under 2 other names. Lineage: Eukaryota; Metazoa; Xenacoelomorpha; Acoela; Haploposthiidae. The record is from RNAcentral.